CUGCUGUCGCCGGAAAACUCUGCCGCUACCAUUGCCGAAGUCCGGGUCGCCGCUGCCAUUUGAGGUGGCUGCCGGGCUGCCGCCAAGCCGGUUCGGAGACCGUCGAUAUUUCGGUUCAGCCCUUCCUUCUUCGUUUGGUUAUUCCUUUUCAGAAUAUGGAAGACGAAGCUUCAGGAGAGUUAUGUUUAUUUUCUGUUUAUUCGGUCCUUUUGUAUUACCAUAGCUAUUGUUUUCCCUCGCCUUUAUCUUUAU
Non-coding RNA from Arachis ipaensis, 252 nucleotides. Lineage: Eukaryota; Viridiplantae; Streptophyta; Magnoliopsida; Fabales; Fabaceae. The record is from RefSeq and is a predicted model, not a curated record.